Molecule: ribosomal RNA, 2400 nt
Filed under: Corynebacterium diphtheriae
Lineage: Bacteria; Bacillati; Actinomycetota; Actinomycetes; Mycobacteriales; Corynebacteriaceae
Description: bacterial LSU rRNA
Rfam family: Bacterial large subunit ribosomal RNA
Source: RNAcentral
GUGUUGUUUGUUAAGGGCACACGGUGGAUGCCUUGGCAUUAUGAGCCGAUGAAGGACGUGUAAGGCCGCGAUAGGCCUCGGGGAGUUGCCAAUAGAGCGUUGAUCCGAGGGUGUCCGAAUGGGGAAACCUGGCCAUGGUUAUGUGUGGUUACCCAUCAGUGAAUUCAUAGCUGGUGUGGGGGUGACGCGGGGAAGUGAAACAUCUCAGUACCCGUAGGAGAAGAAAAUAAUUAAUGAUUCUGCUAGUAGUGGCGAACGAACGUGGAUGAGGCUAAACCGUAUGCGUGUGAUACCUGGCAGGGGUUGCGUGUGUGGUGUUGUGGGGCGUUGUUGGAGGAGGCUGCCGGCUCCUCGCUUGUUAUAUGUGUGUGUUAGCGGAAGUGGUUUGGAAUGGCCUGCCGUAGUGGGUGAGAGUCCCGUACGUGAAAACAUGUGCAUGCGAGUGGAUGAUGUUCCCGAGUAGCAGCGGGCUCGUGGAAUCUGCUGUGAAUCUGCCGGGACCACCCGGUAAGCCUAAAUACUUAUGAUGACCGAUAGCGGAUUAGUACCGUGAGGGAAUGGUGAAAAGUACCCCGGGAGGGGAGUGAAAUAGUACCUGAAACCGUGUGCUUACAAUCCGUCAGAGCCUUGUUUGUUAGGUGAUGGCGUGCCUUUUGAAGAAUGAGCCUGCGAGUCAGCGGCAUGUCGCGAGGUUAACCCGUGUGGGGUAGUCGUAGCGAAAGCGAAUCCUAAUGAGGGUGUUUUUAAGUGGCAUGUCCUGGACCCGAAGCGGGGUGAUCUACCCAUGGCCAGUGUGAAGCAGCUGUAAGAGGUUGUGGAGGCGCGAACCCACUUAGGUUGAAAACUGAGGGGAUGAGCUGUGGGUAGGGGUGAAAGGCCAAUCAAACUCCGUGAUAGCUGGUUCUCCCCGAAAUGCAUUUAGGUGCAGCGUUGUGUGUUUCUUGCUGGAGGUAGAGCUACUGGUUGGUUGAGCGGGACUACAAUCUUAGCAAUGUCAGCCAAACUCCGAAUGCCGGUAAUGUUAAGCAUGGCAGUGAGACUGCGGGGGAUAAGCUCCGUUGGUCGAGAGGGAAACAGCCCAGAUCGCCGGUUAAGGCCCCUAAGGGUGUACUAAGUGGAAAAGGAUGUGGGAUCGCGAAGACAGCCAGGAGGUUGGCUUAGAAGCAGCCAUCCUUGAAAGAGUGCGUAAUAGCUCACUGGUCGAGUGGUUCUGCGCCGACAAUGUAGUGGGGCUCAAGUACACCGCCGAAGCCGCGGCAGUCAACAAUGUGUUUUGUUGGUUGGGUAGGGGAGCGUCGUGCACUGCUGUGAAGCACCUGGGUGACUUGAUGGUGUGGAGUGUGUGCGAGUGAGAAUGCAGGCAUGAGUAACGAAUGAAAAGUGGAAAACUUUUCCGCCGGAUGACUAAGGGUUCCUGGGUUAAGCUAAUCUUCCCAGGGUGAGUCGGGACCUAAGGCGAGGCCGACAGGCGUAGUCGAUGGAUAACCAGUUGAUAUUCUGGUACCCGUGUAUGUGCGCCCAGUGGUGAAUCAGUGGUACUAACCAUCCAUUGAUCUGCUGGUCAUGCUUUGUGUGUGGUUGGUGGUGAUGUGCGUGGGAUCUUCGUUGGUAGUAGCCAAGUGAUGGGGUGACGCAGUGAGGUAGCUGAGCCAUUUAUUGGAUUGUGGUGUAAGCGUGUGGCCCGUGGCAUAGGUAAAUCCGUGUUACAUAGUGGGUGAGGCGUGAUGCGUAGACCUUUGUGGUUGAUGUUGGUGAUCCUGUACUGUCGAGAAAAGCCUCUAGCGAGUGCAUAUAUGGCCCGUACCCAUAACCGACACAGGUGGUCAGGUAGAGAAUACUAAGGCGAUCGGGUGAACUGUGGUUAAGGAACUCGGCAAAUUGCCCCCGUAACUUCGGGAGAAGGGGGACCAUUGCUGGUGACCGACGUGGUUGAGCUGGUGGUGGUCGCAGAGAAUAGAGGGAAGCGACUGUUUAUUAAAAACACAGGUCCGUGCGAAAACGUGGAAGUUGAUGUAUACGGACUGACGCCUGCCCGGUGCUGGAAGGUUAAGAGGACCUGUUAGGGCAUUUUUUGUCCGAAGCGGAGAAUUUAAGCCCCAGUAAACGGCGGUGGUAACUAUAACCAUCCUAAGGUAGCGAAAUUCCUUGUCGGGUAAGUUCCGACCUGCACGAAUGGCGUAACGACUUCCCUGCUGUCUCAACCACAGGCCCGGUGAAAUUGCAGUACGAGUAAAGAUGCUCGUUACGCGCGGCAGGACGAAAAGACCCCGGGACCUUCACUAUAGCUUGGUAUUGGUGUUUGGUUCGGUUUGUGUAGGAUAGGUGGGAGACUGUGAAGUGGUCACGCUAGUGGUUGUGGAGUCGAAAGUUGAAAUACCACUCUGAUCGGAUUGAGCACCU